Molecule: long non-coding RNA, 2511 nt
Filed under: Equus caballus (horse)
Lineage: Eukaryota; Metazoa; Chordata; Mammalia; Perissodactyla; Equidae
Description: lncRNA (ENSECAG00000043822.1)
Source: RNAcentral
AAAAAAGAGAAGGUGGCAGACCGCAUGAGGAUUCUUUUUUUUUUUUUUUCAGGAAGAUUAGCCCUGAGCUAACAUCUGCUGCCAAUCCUCCUCUUUUUGCUGAGGAAAACUGGCCCUGAGCUAAUUUCCGUGCCCAUCUUCCUCUACUUUAUAUGUGGGAUGCCUACCACAGCAUGGCCUGUCGAGUGGUGCCAUGUCUGCACCCGGGAUCCGAGCCGGCAAAACCCGGGCCACCAAAGUGUAAUGUGCACAAUUGACCACUGCGCCACCAGGCCAGCCCCUAAUUCUUAAAGCUCCUUCUUAAAAGGAGCACAUAUCACUUUCACUCACAUUCCAUUGGCUUAAAUAAGUCACAUGUUCAGGUCUGAAAUGUAUGGUGCAAAAAGUCUGAUUAUCCCUCAGUGAGGGGCCUGGAGUGGCAGACAGACUGAUAGUCCCCGAUUAAACCCACAUCUUGAUAUUCACCCCGUGUGUAAUUCCCUUGAGUGUGGACAGGCCCCGUGACUUGCCUUUAACCUAUAGACUAUGGCACAGAUGACAGGGUGUCACUUCUGUUAUUAUGUAACGGAAGAUGAAAGUCUCUUAAUAGUGGAUGUUCUUCCUUGCUGAUUUUGAUGAAGCAUUCUGCUCAUGUUGACAGCUCUGUUAUGGAGAGAGUGUCACAUGACAAGGAACACGAGGGUGGCUCCAGCUGACGCCGGCGAGGAGAAAAGCCCAUCGGAAAAUAAAUUCUGUCAAUACCCUGAGUGAACUUGGAAGCACAUCCUCUUCCAGCUGAACAUUCAGAUGAGACCCCAGCCCUGGCUGACAACUUCAUUAUAGCCUGAUCCAGCCACCAUGGAGAAGAGGUAUGAUUAUCCUGAAACGACAAUACUUUUAAGGAAGCCUAAGCGAGUCACCUGGAGAGGCUACAGGGAAGAGAACUGAAGUGUCCAAGUGACAGCCCCGCAUGAGAUCCCAGCCUUCAGCAGAGACCAACGGCCACCACGUUGGACAUUCCAAAUCGGUUGAACCUCCAGUGAGCCAUCUUGGACAUUCCAAACUGGUUGAGUCUUCAGAUAACGGCAGCCACAGCUCACACCACAUGGAGAAGAACUGACACUGAGGAUGAAGGAGUUAAAAUUUCCCUGGAUUAGGGUGAAACUGUGCCUUUGACCCACAAGGUUAACGUGGGAAACAAAAUAACCAAAGCAUCUGAGCUUGCCUUGCACAACAGCAGGAGGACCGCCGAUAAGAGAGGAAUUUGCUGACAGGCCUCCUCCUGAGUAAGCAUCUUGCAGGAACAUUGAGAAGCUAAAAAGACUGUCAACUUUACACAUCAAAGACUAAAAAUCCACCAUGCAACACAUAGAACAGACAGUCAUUCCUGUGCAGAGGACUCUUAGAACUUCUGCCCCCAAGGCCACAUGCUCCCCAACUCCUACCUAAAACCCUAAAUAAAAACCCUUGCUUGUACCUUUUUCAGGAGUUUGGGAUUAUAGUGUUAGCUGCCUCUUCUCCUUGCUCAGUGCUUUGCAAUAAAAUUCCUACUUUUUUCCACUACACCCAAUGUCAGAGAUUGGCUUACUACUGUGUAACUGGCGAGUGAACUAACUUCAGAUUUGAUAUCAGAUGACCCUUAUAUCAGGUGAACUACCCAGGUGAACCCAACCAACCCACAGACUCAUGAGCAGCGAUAAAUGGUUGUUGCUGAUUGAAGCCAGUGAGAAAGGCAGGUAGCAUAGGCCCUGAGCAAUUGGCCUAGUGGCUGUGUCUGGAUGCGUACAGGGGUGCUAAGGUGGGAGGCCCCAAGGCAGCAGCAGAAGAGACAGUGGGCACAGCCCCAGGAGAGAAGAGGGACUCCAUGUGGGACAGCACAGGAACCUGGGUGGGAGGCCAGCCUCCUGACCAUCUUUAGACCCUAAUAAUUACAGUAAUUAUUAACUCUCUGGCCUGAGCACUGGGACAGGUACUGCAGGCGGCCAGGUAGUAAAUAUUGUCAGUAAAUUAUUACUAAACAACAGCAUAUACAUCGACAUUGCAAUAAAGCGUAUCAGGAAGUUAUUAGAAUUCUUCAAAGCGUUCAGAAUCUCUGGUUUUGAAAAUUGCUGGGUCAUUGCAAAGCAAAUACCCACAGGUUUAUAAAUAGAAAUUAAAUUCAACAGAAAAACCCACUAUUUUUAUAUGAAGCUUAAAUUGCCAUUGUAUAAUUGCCCUUGCAUGACAUUUAAAAUUAAAUUCAGGCAGGAGACUCAUUUGUAUGAAGAGUUAAAUCUUUUUAGAAAAAGUGUUAAGUGAGACUCAUUAACUUUACAUGUACUCUAAUUUAUACUGCUAAAUAAUUAUCAGAAAUAUGUCCCAGUGUUGUCACAGUCUAUAAAAUACUCUUAACGGCUCCUGUAACCAUUACAUCAGCAGAAACAUUCUUCUCAAAAUUAAAAAUUAUCAAAAAUUGGCUGCAAUCUUGCAUUUGCCAAGGCAACUCCUUUUUUUUUUUUUAAAGAUUUUAUUUUUUCCUUUUUCUCCCCAAAG